GAUUCCGUAGCUCAGCUGGUAGAGCAUCCCGAUUUUUAUCGGGAGGGUCCUGGGUUCGAAUCCCAGCGGAAUCA
RNAcentral lists this transfer RNA (74 nucleotides) under Belliella calami. RNAcentral describes it as "tRNA-Lys". It matches the Rfam family "tRNA". From Rfam's summary of the family: Transfer RNA (tRNA) molecules are approximately 80 nucleotides in length. Their secondary structure includes four short double-helical elements and three loops (D, anti-codon, and T loops). Lineage: Bacteria; Pseudomonadati; Bacteroidota; Cytophagia; Cytophagales; Cyclobacteriaceae. The record is from RNAcentral.